RNAcentral lists this ribosomal RNA (256 nucleotides) under uncultured bacterium. RNAcentral's name for it is "partial 16S ribosomal RNA". It matches the Rfam family "Bacterial small subunit ribosomal RNA", at positions 524 to 776 of the family's 1533-position model. The record is from RNAcentral.
UACGGAGGGUGCAAGCGUUGUCCGGAUUCAUUGGGUUUAAAGGGUGCGCAGGCGGGACAUUAAGUCAGGGGUGAAAGACGGUUGCUCAACAAUCGCAGUGCCUUUGAUACUGGUGUUCUUGGGUGACCUUGAGGUAGGCGGAAUGGGUGGUGUAGCGGUGAAAUGCAUAGAUACCACCCAGAACUCCGAUUGCGAAGGCAGCCUACUGGAGGUUUACCGACGCUCAGGCACGAAAAGCGUGGGGGAGCAAAACAGG